RNAcentral lists this ribosomal RNA (353 nucleotides) under uncultured eukaryote. RNAcentral describes it as "LSU rRNA". It matches the Rfam family "Bacterial large subunit ribosomal RNA", at positions 2127 to 2479 of the family's 2925-position model. The record is from RNAcentral.
GCUUUGUUUGCGCAGGAUAGGUGGGAGGCGUUGAAAGUUUUCUUGCGGGAAGAUUUGAGCCAUUGGUGAGAUACCACUCUAACAAUGCUAGGAUUCUAACCCUAUGUCGUUAUCCGGCUAGGGGACAGUUUCAGGUGGUCAGUCUGACUGGGGCGGUCGCCUCCUAAAAGGUAACGGAGGCGUGCAAAGGUUCCCUCAGGCUGGUUGGAAAUCAGUCGUAGAGUGUAAAGGCAUAAGGGAGCUUGAUUGUGAGACCUACAAGUCGAACAAAGACGAAAGUCGGCCUUAGUGAUCCGGCGGUACCGAGUGGAAGGGCCGUCGCUCAACGGAUAAAAGUUACUCUAGGGAUAACA